Molecule: ribosomal RNA, 800 nt
Filed under: Dirofilaria immitis (dog heartworm nematode)
Lineage: Eukaryota; Metazoa; Nematoda; Chromadorea; Rhabditida; Onchocercidae
Description: SSU rRNA
Rfam family: Eukaryotic small subunit ribosomal RNA
Source: RNAcentral
CCUGCAGCUCAGCUCUGACUUUUUGAACGAGCGCAUCUAUUAGAUUCAAUCCGAUCGGAUCAGAUUUGAUCCGUUAAUUUGGUGACUCUAAAUAGCUAUAGCUGAUCGCAUGGUCUUGUACCGGCGACAUAUCUAUCAAGUGUCUGCCUUAUCAACUUUCGAUGGUAGUUUAUGUGCCUACCAUGGUUGUAACGGGUAACGGAGAAUAAGGGUUCGACUCCGGAGAGGGAGCCUGAGAAACGGCUACCACAUCCAAGGAAGGCAGCAGGCGCGCAAAUUACCCAAUCUCAGAAUGAGGAGGUAGUGACGAAAAAUAACGAGACCGUUCUCUAUGAGGCCGGUUAUCGGAAUGGGUACAAUUUAAACCUGUUAACGAGGAUCUAUGAGAGGGCAAGUCUGGUGCCAGCAGCCGCGGUAAUUCCAGCUCUCAAAGUGUAUAUCGUCAUUGCUGCGGUUAAAAAGCUCGUAGUUGGAUCUGCGUCUUAGAACUUGGUCCAUCCAAAUGGAUGUGAACUAGGAUUCUAGACUAAAUAUUACAAGUUUUCUAUAUGUUACCUUAAUUGGUUGCAUAUAGUAGCUAGUAAGUUUACCUUGAAAAAAUUAGAGUGCUCAAUGCGGGCUUAAUGCCUGAAUACUCGUGCAUGGAAUAAUAAAAUAGGAUCUUGGUUCUAUUUUGUUGGUUUUCUGAUCUAAGAUAAUGGUUAAGAGGGACGGACGGGGGCAUUCGUAUCGCUACGUGAGAGGUGAAAUUCUUGGACCGUAGCGAGACGUACAACUGCGAAAGCAUUUGCCAAGAAUGU